RNAcentral lists this ribosomal RNA (441 nucleotides) under uncultured bacterium. RNAcentral describes it as "partial 16S ribosomal RNA". It matches the Rfam family "Bacterial small subunit ribosomal RNA", at positions 338 to 795 of the family's 1533-position model. The record is from RNAcentral.
CCUACGGGGGGCAGCAGUGGGGGAUAUUGCACAAUGGGGGAAACCCUGAUGCAGCGACGCCGCGUGGGUGAAGAAGUAUUUCGGUAUGUAAAGCCCUAUCAGCAGGGAAGAAAGAAGACGGUACCUGACUAAGAAGCCCCGGCUAACUACGUGCCAGCAGCCGCGGUAAUACGUAGGGGGCGAGCGUUAUCCGGAUUCACUGGGUGUAAAGGGAGCGUAGACGGCCGUGCAAGCCAGGAGUGAAAGCCCGGGGCCCAACCCCGGGACUGCUCUUGAAACUGUGCGGCUGGAGUGCGGGAGGGGCAGGCGGAAUUCCUGGUGUAGCGGUGAAAUGCGUAGAUAUCAGGAGGAACACCGGCGGCGAAGGCGGCCUGCUGGACCGCGACUGACGUUGAGGCUCGAAAGCGUGGGGAGCGAACAGGAUUAGAUACCCCUGUAGUC